This 347-nucleotide unclassified non-coding RNA is filed under the name Hevea brasiliensis (rubber tree). Lineage: Eukaryota; Viridiplantae; Streptophyta; Magnoliopsida; Malpighiales; Euphorbiaceae. The record is from RNAcentral.
GAACGCCCACAACCAUGGUUUUCAAAUAUCAGUAUUGAUGAUAUUCAUUCUGGAGAUUUCUUAGCUCUAUCAAAAAUCCGUGGGCGGUGGGGUGGUUUUGAGACUUUAGAGAAGUGGGUCACUGGAGCUUAUGCUGGUCAUACUGCCGUCUUCCUAAAGGAUUCCGAAGGAAAGCUUUGGGUUGGAGAGUCGGGACAUGAAAAUGAAAAGGGAGAAGAUAUUAUUGCUGUGCUUCCGUGGAAUGAGUGGUGGGAUUUUGAGCUGACCAAAGAUGACUCAAAUCCUCAAAUUGCAAUCCUUCCUCUGCAUCCAGAUAUUCGAGCAAAAUUUAAUGAAACUGCAGCUUG